AUGAACCUCGGCUGUCUCGUCCUCACUGUCUGCCUGGGCCACCUCCUGGGCACCAUGGGGCAGACCGUUGUCACCCAGGAAGAUGGAGAAGUCCUGGUGAAGCAGAAAGGCCUCUUCCAGACCACCUGUACAUACCAGACCAAUUACUUCAAUGGAUUGUUGUGGUACCAGCAGAGGAAAGGACAAGCCCCACAGCUGCUCUCGUCUCAGGCAGGGGCCGGCCAGAGGCAGAGCGGCCGUAUCAGCACGGAGCUGAACACCACGGGGAAAUACAGUGUCCUGCAGGUGGAGGAAGUGGAGGUCUCUGACAGUGCCUUGUACCUCUGUGCUGUGCGAGACACCCUGAGUUCCGAGUUCAAAGUAGGGUGA
This is a non-coding RNA of Pseudopipra pipra, 369 nucleotides long. The record is from the annotation of a RefSeq genome assembly. Lineage: Eukaryota; Metazoa; Chordata; Aves; Passeriformes; Pipridae.